This 313-nucleotide unclassified non-coding RNA is filed under the name plant metagenome. Its description in RNAcentral is "partial contains 5.8S ribosomal RNA, internal transcribed spacer 2, and large subunit ribosomal RNA". The stretch from base 1 to 105 matches the Rfam family "5.8S ribosomal RNA", at positions 50 to 154 of the family's 154-position model. The record is from RNAcentral.
GAAAUGCGAUAAGUAAUGUGAAUUGCAGAAUCUCGUGAAUCAUUGAAUCUUUGAACGCACAUUGCGCCCUUUGGUAUUCCAAAGGGCAUGCCUGUUCGAGCGUCAUUUGUACCCUCAAGCUUUGCUUGGUGUUGGGCGUUUUUUGUCUUUGGCUCGCCCAAAGACUCGCCUUAAAACGAUUGGCAGCCGGCCUACUGGUUUCGCAGCGCAGCACAUUUUUGCGCUUGCAAUCAGCAAAAGAGGACGGCAAUCCAUCAAGACUCCUUCUCACGUUUGACCUCGGAUCAGGUAGGGAUACCCGCUGAACUUAAGC